UACGAAGGGGGCUAGCGUUGUUCGGAAUUACUGGGCGUAAAGCGCGCGCAGGCGGCUAUCCAAGUCAGUGGUGAAAGCCCGGAGCUCAACUCCGGAACUGCCAUUGAAACUGUUUAGCUUGAGGAUGAGAGAGGUGAGUGGAAUUCCCAGUGUAGAGGUGAAAUUCGUAGAUAUUCGCAAGAACACCAGAGGCGAAGGCGGCUCACUGGCCCGAUACUGACGCUGAGGCACGAAAGCGUGGGGAGCAAACAGG
Molecule: ribosomal RNA, 253 nt
Filed under: uncultured bacterium
Lineage: Bacteria
Description: partial 16S ribosomal RNA
Rfam family: Bacterial small subunit ribosomal RNA
Source: RNAcentral